This 84-nucleotide transfer RNA is filed under the name Candidatus Omnitrophota bacterium. RNAcentral describes it as "tRNA-Leu". It matches the Rfam family "tRNA". From Rfam's summary of the family: Transfer RNA (tRNA) molecules are approximately 80 nucleotides in length. Lineage: Bacteria; Pseudomonadati; Candidatus Omnitrophota. The record is from RNAcentral.
GCGAGGAUGGCGGAAUGGCAGACACGACAGUGUGAGGGGCUGUUGGGCGAUGACCCUGUGAGGGUUCAACUCCCUCUCCUCGCA